RNAcentral lists this ribosomal RNA (492 nucleotides) under uncultured bacterium. Its description in RNAcentral is "partial 16S ribosomal RNA". It matches the Rfam family "Bacterial small subunit ribosomal RNA", at positions 29 to 507 of the family's 1533-position model. The record is from RNAcentral.
AGUGAACGCUGGCGGUAGGCCUAACACAUGCAAGUCGAACGGCAGCACAGUAAGAGCUUGCUCUUACGGGUGGCGAGUGGCGGACGGGUGAGGAAUACAUCGGAAUCUACUUUUUCGUGGGGGAUAACGUAGGGAAACUUACGCUAAUACCGCAUACGACCUACGGGUGAAAGCAGGGGAUCUUCGGACCUUGCGCGAUUGAAUGAGCCGAUGUCGGAUUAGCUAGUUGGCGGGGUAAAGGCCCACCAAGGCGACGAUCCGUAGCUGGUCUGAGAGGAUGAUCAGCCACACUGGAACUGAGACACGGUCCAGACUCCUAAGGGAGGCAGCAGUGGGGAAUAUUGGACAAUGGGCGCAAGCCUGAUCCAACCAUACCGCGUGGGUGAAGAAGGCCUUCGGGUUGUAAAGCCCUUUUGUUGGGAAAGAAAAGCAGCAGGUUAAUACCCCGCUGUUCUGACGGUACCCAAAGAAUAAGCACCGGCUAACUUCGUG